GUGCCCGAGUUGUAAUUUGGAGAGGGCAACUUUGGGGCCGUUCCUUGUCUAUGUUCCUUGGAACAGGACGUCAUAGAGGGUGAGAAUCCCGUGUGGCGAGGAGUGCGGUUCUUUGUAAAGUGCCUUCGAAGAGUCGAGUUGUUUGGGAAUGCAGCUCUAAGUGGGUGGUAAAUUCCAUCUAAAGCUAAAUAUUGGCGAGAGACCGAUAGCGAACAAGUACAGUGAUGGAAAGAUGAAAAGAACUUUGAAAAGAGAGUGAAAAAGUACGUGAAAUUGUUGAAAGGGAAGGGCAUUUGAUCAGACAUGGUGUUUUGUGCCCUCUGCUCCUUGUGGGUAGGGGAAUCUCGCAUUUCACUGGGCCAGCAUCAGUUUUGGUGGCAGGAUAAAUCCAUAGGAAUGUAGCUUGCCUCGGUAAGUAUUAUAGCCUGUGGGAAUACUGCCAGCUGGGACUGAGGACUGCGACGUAAGUCAAGGAUGCUGGCAUAAUGGUUAUAUGCCGCC
This 501-nucleotide ribosomal RNA is filed under the name Saccharomyces cerevisiae (brewer's yeast). RNAcentral describes it as "partial large subunit ribosomal RNA". It matches the Rfam family "Eukaryotic large subunit ribosomal RNA", at positions 134 to 649 of the family's 3401-position model. The record is from RNAcentral. Lineage: Eukaryota; Fungi; Ascomycota; Saccharomycetes; Saccharomycetales; Saccharomycetaceae.